CACAUAUUGUGUCCUAUUUUUUAUAGAUUCUAUAAACUUCUAACACCCUCAAGCACUACUUUAGCGAAAUUUCUCGAGCAAAUGUUUGACAUGGUAUGUGUCUUGUCCUCUAUUAAUAAUUACAAAGUAAAACAUAAUAUACAAGUUCAAAAUUUUUCAGAAUUUAAAUCGACGUAGUCGUAUCCUACUUUUUUGAAAAAUCAAGUUUUGGUGUGUAAAUGUCUGUGUGUCCGUACAAACAAAAUGCCCCCAAAACGUGCUCUAUGCCUGAUGCAUUCUUACAUAAAUUUUCUUUGUUCUCAAAAUAAAAUUGAACUUUAUUUAUGAAAAAAUACAUGCGAGUUCAAGAAAUUAUAAGUAAAUAAAGAAAUAUAAUCCUGCAAAUAUUCAAAACAAUUAUACAGUACAAUCAACUUAGAAUACUUGAUGCAUUCUUACAUAAAUUUUCACAAAGCAUAGUUUGCACAAUGCUCAAUGCUCCACACUAAUAUCAUGCAAUAAGAUGGCGUACUAUUAAUUUCUUUCUCAACCUUAUUAAACAUAUCUUGAUAUUAUAGCCUCCAAGAACUAAAAGAAAAGUACCAUUUAAUCAACAACUAAACAACAUAUCAAUGUUUCCGUCUUUUAGCACAAAAAAAGAUAAAUGAUAGUACAACUAUGUGAGUCAUACAGUGAAAAAACCAUGCUAUAUGAUAAAUUAAAGCAAUCUUCUUGAAACUUGCAUUGCAUAUUCAAAUUUUACCCAAUUUUUGUACUCAGGCUGUCUAAAUUUGCAUUUAAUAUGGUUUAUAGCUAUUUUUGGAGGUAGAUAAAGGGGGACUGUUUGCAUAAACUAUAUAAACUACCAUAUCUAUGAUUAUGCCCCGUACAUGGGUUCAAAGCAAGUAAUAAAUUUUAAGGAGUGGGUAUCUAGAACUAAAUUGAUCAUUGAAAUGAAUUUUCCUUAGAUAUCUAUUCUAAAGGAUGCCAACGAGCACUGAGAAACAAGAGAAGAUAACACAAAAUAUGUCCAUGUGAAAUAUUAUGAUAAUUCAGAGCUAGAUAUGGAACUCCACACUCUAAAAUCAAAUGGCAGACAAUAAGUAUAUAAAAAACCAGGCUUCUUUGGCCUGACAAUUGAAAAGCCAAUGGUGGAUCUCGAGAGUGAGAAGUUGCUUCUAGGCCCAUCUGAAUAAUUCUUGAAAGUACUUUGUUUGAAAAGUAGAGCUUUUAGAGGAAACUGAUCCAAAAAGGGCUUCUUAAGAAGCUCUUCUACAACUAUACCAAACAAGCCUUAACUCUCAACUUCCAAUCCUUUCGGUACAGAAUUCAAAGUAAAUUCAUAUUUAAUUAAACCAAAAUUUGCAUAUCAUACCGUGCCAUUCAUAUCUUGUAUUGUAAGACCAAAAUCGAGCAUUUAGUCAAAUAUCUUGCUGCUACAUAUUUUGGACAAAACAAUCAACUAAGUUUCCUCACACCAUGUCCAACCACAAAAUCGUAAUGACAUACACCACAUCUAUACUCGUCUGCAUCACAAUUCACAAUUUUCCGAAGCAACUAGUUAGUUUAAAAGAGUACUUUUUUUAGUCUUUUUCUAGUCAAACGGAAAUCAACUCUUUUUAAAUCACAAUUAUAUCGGGGAAAACAUCAUCUUUCCUAAAAAUUCUUCAAACUUCCAUCAAAAUUACACCAAAAUUACUCGAACUAUUCCAAUCAGACAGCGCCAAGAACUAAUUAUGUUCCAUUAUACAAAAUCAAGAACCACGUGAUUAAAACAAAAGUAAAACCUCAAAUCAAAAUCUAAAAAGAAUUAAAAAAAUUUUAAAAAUACCCAGAUCAGAGAAUUCAAUACAAAAAACACAUAAGGAAAAAAAAAAAAAAAAAAACCCAAAUGCAACGAGAAAGGAAUCCAAAAAUUCGAAUAAGAAAAAACUGGGAUAUAGAAAUAAAGAUUACCAAUAAAUGACGACGAUUAGGAGAACAGUACGGAAAACCGUAGAAUUUUGGGUAGCUACAUAAAUUUAUUUGAGAGACUUUGAGUCAAUGCUUGUUCGUUGAUAUGGAAAUGUGAUAAAUACUAUGUAACUGCAGAAUACAGGUAGUAUCUGUUUCUGAAAGAAGUGUGAAUC
Molecule: long non-coding RNA, 2108 nt
Filed under: Olea europaea subsp. europaea
Lineage: Eukaryota; Viridiplantae; Streptophyta; Magnoliopsida; Lamiales; Oleaceae
Source: RNAcentral